CUCAGGGGCACUGGACCACUGAGCCACAUCCUUAGCCCUAUCUUGUAUUUUUAUUUAGAGGCAGGGUCUCACUGAGUUGCUUAGUGCCUUGCUUUUGCUGAAGCUGGCUUUGAACUUGGCGAUCCUCCUGCCUCAGCCUCCUGAGCCACUGUGAUGACAAGCAUGCGCCACUACGCCUGGCCCAAGUUCAUUUUAAAAAUGAAGUCUCUCUAUAGUUCACAUUAAUCUAGUACAUAUUUUAUGAAUAAUUAGACAAGAGUAGCUCAAAGUCUCCAAAUACAAGGUAAUGAAAAGGAGAUGGAAAUAUUAAUUACCCUAACUUGAUCAGCACAUAUUAUAUACAUGUAUCAAAAUAUUACAGUGUAUCCCCAUCAAUAUGUACAAUUAUUGCUGUUAAUUAAAGUAUUUUUUAAAAUAUUUAUUUUUUAAUUGUAGGUAGACACAUUAUCUUUAUUUCAUUUUUAUGUGGUGGUGCUGAGGAUCAAACCCAUUGCCUCACAUGUGCUAGGCAAGUGCUCUACCACUGGGCCACCACCCCAGCCCUAAAAUUUUUUUUUAAGUUUAAGGAGAUAGAAAGGUUAACUACCAUGAUUUAAUCAGUACACUGUAUAUGUAUCAAGUUAUCACACUGUAUCCCAUAAAUUUGUAUAAUUAAGAUAAUUUUUAAAACUUAAUAUAAAAAGUAACAUCUAAAAACAUUCUAGUUGUCUGCAAAAACGAAACUAAACCCCAAAUAAAACCAAGUUUCUUUUUGUCUUUGAGUUUGAGGGUUUCCGCAUAGUAAAGGGGGAGAUUUUAGGAAUAUGGAAUUUCAGAGGUGUUUUUUAAUUAAUAUUAC
This 838-nucleotide long non-coding RNA is filed under the name Marmota monax (woodchuck). The record is from RNAcentral. Lineage: Eukaryota; Metazoa; Chordata; Mammalia; Rodentia; Sciuridae.